AGAGUUUGAUCCUGGCGUCAGGAUAAACGCUGCGGCGCACAUAAGACAUGCAAGUCGAACGGAUUAACCAUAGUUUACUAUUGGAGCGGUUAGUGGCGGACUGGUGAGUAACACGUAAGCAACCUGCCUAUCAGAGGGGAACAACAGUUAGAAAUGACUGCUAAUACCGCAUAUGCCUUGAGUUACGCAUGUAACGAAAGGGAAAGGAGCAAUCCGCUGAUAGAUGGGCUUGCGUCUGAUUAGAUAGUUGUGGGGGUAACGGCCUACCAAGUCGACGAUCAGUAGCCGGACUGAGAGGUUGAACGGCCACAUUGGGACUGAGAUACGGCCCAGACUCCUACGGGAGGCAGCAGUCGGGAAUAUUGCGCAAUGGAGGAAACUCUGACGCAGUGACGCCGCGUGCAGGAAGAAGGUUUUCGGAUUGUAAACUGCUUUAGGCAGGGAAGAUAAUGACAGUACCUGUAGAAUAAGCUCCGGCUAACUACGUG
Molecule: ribosomal RNA, 488 nt
Filed under: uncultured Oscillospiraceae bacterium
Lineage: Bacteria; Bacillati; Bacillota; Clostridia; Eubacteriales; Oscillospiraceae
Description: bacterial SSU rRNA
Rfam family: Bacterial small subunit ribosomal RNA
Source: RNAcentral